Molecule: ribosomal RNA, 564 nt
Filed under: uncultured Glomeromycotina
Lineage: Eukaryota; Fungi; Glomeromycota
Description: SSU rRNA
Rfam family: Eukaryotic small subunit ribosomal RNA
Source: RNAcentral
UUGGAGGGCAAGUCUGGUGCCAGCAGCCGCGGUAAUUCCAGCUCCAAUAGCGUAUAUUAAAGUUGCUGCAGUUAAAAAGCUCGUAGUUGAAUUUCGGGACCAUCAUGUCGGUCGUGCCUCGGUACGUACUGGUAUUGUUGGUUUCUCCCUUCUGACGAACCAUGAUGUCAUUUAUUUGGUGUUGUGGGGAAUCAGGACUGUUACUUUGAAAAAAUUAGAGUGUUUAAAGCAGGCUCACGCUUGAAUACAUUAGCAUGGAAUAAUGAAAUAGGACGUUCGAUCCUAUUUUGUUGGUUUCUAGGAUUGACGUAAUGAUUAAUAGGGAUAGUUGGGGGCAUUAGUAUUCAAUUGUCAGAGGUGAAAUUCUUGGAUUUAUUGAAGACUAACUACUGCGAAAGCAUUUGCCAAGGAUGUUUUCAUUAAUCAAGAACGAAAGUUAGGGGAUCGAAGACGAUCAGAUACCGUCGUAGUCUUAACCAUAAACUAUGCCGACUAGGGAUCGGAUGAUGUUAAUUUUUUAAUGACUCAUUCGGCGCCUUACGGGAAACCAAAGUGUUUGGGUUC